Molecule: ribosomal RNA, 424 nt
Filed under: uncultured bacterium
Lineage: Bacteria
Description: bacterial SSU rRNA
Rfam family: Bacterial small subunit ribosomal RNA
Source: RNAcentral
UGAGGAAUAUUGGUCAAUGGGCGCAAGCCUGAACCAGCCAUCCCGCGUGCAGGAAGACGGCCCUAUGGGUUGUAAACUGCUUUUCCAGGGAGAGAAACUUACGCACGUGUUGCGUGACUGACGGUACCCUGGGAAUAAGCAUCGGCUAACUCCGUGCCAGCAGCCGCGGUAAUACGGAGGAUGCAAGCGUUAUCCGGAUUCAUUGGGUUUAAAGGGUGCGUAGGCGGGCUAUUAAGUCAGUGGUGAAAUCCUGCAGCUUAACUGCAGAACUGCCGUUGAUACUGAUAGUCUUGAGUUUGGUUAAGGUAGGCGGAAUGUGUAAUGUAGCGGUGAAAUGCUUAGAUAUUACACAGAACACCAAUUGCGUAGGCAGCUUACUGAGCCGACACUGACGCUGAGGCACGAAAGCGUGGGGAUCAAACAG